Molecule: long non-coding RNA, 795 nt
Organism: Lathyrus oleraceus (garden pea)
Lineage: Eukaryota; Viridiplantae; Streptophyta; Magnoliopsida; Fabales; Fabaceae
Exons: 3
Source: RefSeq, a predicted model, not a curated record
GCUUAUUCCAACUGCGACCGACGAACAUGAAUGAACAAAUUCAAACUGAAAAACACUUACAAACCGAUGCUCACUUCCCACCAUCUUCACGACUUCAUAAUAACUCCAGUUACUACCUGAACUCCUCGUUUGCGCGCAUAGGAUUACUAACAACAUCACCGUGUUUUCGUGCUUUGUGGAAUUCAUCUUUUUCAAUCUGUUUCUUCAUGAAUUGUGUUCAUCAAUGGAUUUGUACUUGGAAUGUAGCCGUAAUCAAAACGAAUGAAUCACAACAAGGAGAAGAAAGAAGACUCACUAGAUUUUUGAGCUCAUACACGGUGGCUCUGUGCACCAGAGUGUAGAGAAGUUCACUGAAGAGUGCAACAUCUGAAUGAGAAUGAAGGAUUUUAAGAGUGAAGAAUGUAGGAUGCAAAAAAUGAAGAAUGCAUAAAUGCGUAGAAUGCAGAAAAGCCAAGAAUCCCGAAUCUGAACUGCAAUGAGGUUUUGGUUGGUGUGUUCUGCAUAAGUUGAACAAGUUGCAGGGUCAUAUGAGUUUCAGAGUUACGCAGGGCCAUGUGUUCAAUGAGUUGCUGAGUUUCCUGGAUGUGGAAUUUUCCUUUCAUGUGGAAUUUGCAGGAUGUUGGGCUGAAGAACUAGUUAUACCUAUGUGCAACUAACUUAGAAAACUAGGCUGGGAGAUUGUUAAUUUAGGUUUGGACAUUUGGUUUGUAAAAAUUGUAAAGGAAAGUUGUAGUUGAAACUUGAAUGUAUUGACUUGGAACUUGGUAAUUAUGAAAAGUUUGAUGGUUUGGAUGA